Molecule: ribosomal RNA, 541 nt
Filed under: uncultured bacterium
Lineage: Bacteria
Description: bacterial SSU rRNA
Rfam family: Bacterial small subunit ribosomal RNA
Source: RNAcentral
UGAGGAAUAUUGGUCAAUGGGCGAGAGCCUGAACCAGCCAAGUCGCGUGAAGGAUGACUGUCUUAUGGAUUGUAAACUUCUUUUAUACGGGAAUAACAAGAGUCACGAGUGACUCCCUGCAUGUACCGUAUGAAUAAGCAUCGGCUAACUCCGUGCCAGCAGCCGCGGUAAUACGGAGGAUGCGAGCGUUAUCCGGAUUUAUUGGGUUUAAAGGGUGCGUAGGCGGCCUGUUAAGUCAGCGGUGAAAUCUAGGAGCUUAACUCCUAAAUUGCCAUUGAUACUGGCGGGCUUGAGUGUAGAUGAGGUAGGCGGAAUGCGUGGUGUAGCGGUGGAAUGCAUAGAUAUCACGCAGAACUCCGAUUGCGAAGGCAGCUUACUAAGGUACAACUGACGCUGAAGCACGAAAGCGUGGGUAUCAAACAGGAUUAGAUACCCUGGUAGUCCACGCAGUAAACGAUGAUAACUGGGCGUAUGCGAUAUACAGUAUGCUCCUAAGCGAAAGCGUUAAGUUAUCCACCUGGGGAGUACGCCGGCAACGGUG